This 468-nucleotide ribosomal RNA is filed under the name uncultured bacterium. Its description in RNAcentral is "partial 16S ribosomal RNA". It matches the Rfam family "Bacterial small subunit ribosomal RNA", at positions 28 to 507 of the family's 1533-position model. The record is from RNAcentral.
GACGAACGCUGGCGGCGUGCUUAACACAUGCAAGUCGAACGGAAAGGCCCUGCUUGUGGGGGGUGCUCGAGUGGCGAACGGGUGAGUAACACGUGAGUAACCUGCCCUUGACUUUGGGAUAACUUCAGGAAACUGGGGCUAAUACCGGAUAGGAGCUCCUGCUGCAUGGUGGGGGUGGGAAAGUUUCGGCGGUUGGGGAUGGACUCGCGGCUUAUCAGCUUGUUGGUGGGGUAGUGGCUUACCAAGGCUUUGACGGGUAGCCGGCCUGAGAGGGUGACCGGCCACAUUGGGACUGAGAUACGGCCCAGACUCCUACGGGAGGCAGCAGUGGGGAAUCUUGCACAAUGGGCGGAAGCCUGAUGCAGCAACGCCGCGUGCGGGAUGACGGCCUUCGGGUUGUAAACCGCUUUCGCCUGUGACGAAGCGUGAGUGACGGUAAUGGGUAAAGAAGCACCGGCUAACUACGUG